RNAcentral lists this ribosomal RNA (473 nucleotides) under uncultured bacterium. Its description in RNAcentral is "SSU rRNA". It matches the Rfam family "Bacterial small subunit ribosomal RNA", at positions 26 to 518 of the family's 1533-position model. The record is from RNAcentral.
AGGAUGAACGCUGGCGGCGUGCCUAACACAUGCAAGUCGAACGUCCUGUCUCGCAAGAGGCAGGGAGUGGCGGACGGGUGAGUACCACGUGGGUUAUCUACCGUGAGGUGAGGAAUACCGGCGAGAAAUCGCCGACAAGACCGCAUAGCCUCGGUGCAAGCCGAGGAAAGCUUUCUCGAGAGAGGGAGCGCCACACGAGGAGCCUGCGCCCGAUUAGCUAGCUGGUGGAGUAACGGUUCACCAGGGCGACGAUCGGUAGCUGGUCUGAGAGGACGAUCAGCCACACUGGGAUUGAGAACGGCCCAGACUCCUACGGGGGGCAGCAGUGAGGAAUUUUCGUCAAUGGGGGCAACCCUGAACGAGCAACGCCGCGUGCAGGAAGAAGGUUUUCGGAUCGUAAACUGCUUUUCCCGGGGAAGAGAACGGACGGUACCCGAGGAAUCAGCCCCGGCUAACUACGUGCCAGCAGCCGC